UCGAGAAUCUUCGGCAAUGGACGAAAGUCUGACCGAGCGACGCCGCGUGCGGGAUGAAGGCCCUCGGGUUGUAAACCGCUGUCAGUUUGGAGGAAGGGGACGUGCAGAGCGUUUCUUGACCGAUAUUCAGAGGAAGGACGGGCUAAGUUCGUGCCAGCAGCCGCGGUAAGACGAACCGUCCAAACGUUAUUCGGUAUCACUGGGCUUAAAGCGUGCGUAGGCGGCCCUGCAGGUGUGAUGUGAAAGCCCACGGCUCAACCGUGGAACUGCGUCGCAAACCGCAGGGCUUGAGGAAGACAGGGGUGUUGGGAACUUAUGGUGGAGCGGUGAAAUGCGUUGAUAUCAUAGGGAACACCGGUGGCGAAGGCGCAACACUGGGUCUUUUCUGACGCUGAGGCACGAAAGCUAGGGUAGCGAACGGGAUUAGAUACCCCCGUAGUCC
This 442-nucleotide ribosomal RNA is filed under the name uncultured prokaryote. Its description in RNAcentral is "bacterial SSU rRNA". It matches the Rfam family "Bacterial small subunit ribosomal RNA", at positions 355 to 796 of the family's 1533-position model. The record is from RNAcentral.